UGCCNUAUGGGUNGUAAACUGCUUUUGUACGGGNAGAAAAUCAGCUACGUGUAGUUGUUUGCCGGUACCGUACGAAUAAGGAUCGGCUAACUCCGUGCCAGCAGCCGCGGUAAUACGGAGGANCCGAGCGUUAUCCGGAUUCAUUGGGUUUAAAGGGUGCGCAGGCGGGAAAGUAAGUCAGUGGUGAAAAACUGCCGCUCAACGGUAGUCGUGCCAUUGAUACUGCUUUUCUUGAGUUUGGAUGAGGUAGGCGGAAUGUGCAGUGUAGCGGUGAAAUGCAUAGAUAUUGCACAGAACACCAAUUGCGAAGGCAGCUUACUAAUCCACGACUGACGCUGAGGCACGAAAGCGUGGGGAGCGAACAGGAUUAGAUACCCUGGUAGUCCACGCCGUAAACGAUGUUCACUCGCUGUUUGCGAUACACAGUAAGCGGCUGAGCGAAAGCAUUAAGUGAUCCACCUGGGGAGUACGAUCGCAAGGUUGAAACUCAAAGGAAUUGACGGGGCCCGCACAAGCGGAGGAACAUGUGGUUUAAUUCGAUGAUACGCGAGGAACCUUACCUGGGCUAGAACGCAUUCGGAAUCGCCCCGAGAGGGGCGCGCCAGCGAUGGCCGUUUGCGAGGUGCUGCAUGGUUGUCGUCAGCUCGUGCCGUGAGGUGUCGGGUUAAGUCCCAUAACGAGCGCAACCCCUACUGCUAGUUGCCAGCGGAUCAUGCCGGGGACUCUAGCGGAACUGCCAGCGUAAGCUGCGAGGAAGGUGGGGAUGACGUCAAAUCAGCACGGCCCUUACGUCCAGGGCUACACACGUGUUACAAUGGCCGGUACAAAGGGCAGCUACACAGCGAUGUGAUGCUAAUCUCAAAAGCCGGUCUCAGUUCGGAUCGAAGUCUGCAACCCGACUUCGUGAAGCUGGAUUCGCUAGUAAUCGCGCAUCAGCCAUGGCGCGGUGAAUACGUUCCCGGGCCUUGUACACACCGCCCGUCAAGCCAUGGAAGCCGGGGGUACCUGAAGUAUGUAACCGCAAGGAGCNNCCU
This 1034-nucleotide ribosomal RNA is filed under the name uncultured Bacteroidota bacterium. RNAcentral describes it as "bacterial SSU rRNA". It matches the Rfam family "Bacterial small subunit ribosomal RNA", at positions 413 to 1458 of the family's 1533-position model. The record is from RNAcentral. Lineage: Bacteria; Pseudomonadati; Bacteroidota.